RNAcentral lists this ribosomal RNA (468 nucleotides) under uncultured bacterium. RNAcentral describes it as "partial 16S ribosomal RNA". It matches the Rfam family "Bacterial small subunit ribosomal RNA", at positions 28 to 507 of the family's 1533-position model. The record is from RNAcentral.
GACGAACGCUGGCGGCGUGCUUAACACAUGCAAGUCGAACGGAAAGGCCCUGCUUUUGUGGGGUGCUCGAGUGGCGAACGGGUGAGUAACACGUGAGUAACCUGCCCUUGACUUUGGGAUAACUUCAGGAAACUGGGGCUAAUACCGGAUAGGAGCUCCUGCUGCAUGGUGGGGGUUGGAAAGUUUCGGCGGUUGGGGAUGGACUCGCGGCUUAUCAGCUUGUUGGUGGGGUAGUGGCUUACCAAGGCUUUGACGGGUAGCCGGCCUUAGAGGGUGACCGGCCACAUUGGGACUGAGAUACGGACCAGACUCCUACGGGAGGCAGCAGUGGGGAAUAUUGCACAAUGGGCGGAAGCCUGAGGCAGCAACGCCGCGUGCGGGAUGACGGCCUUCGGGUUGUAAACCGCUGUCGCCUGUGACGAAGCGUGAGUGACGGUAAUGGGUAAAGAAGCACCGGCUAACUACGUG